AGCAUAAGUCUUACCAACUUUCACGUGCCUAAAAAUGGUAUUAAUUACAACUCAGGGCCAAAAAAUCCCCAAUUCAGAAGUAUAGUCCAGUAAAGAUGGCUGUAUUAUUACAUUUUUACUAGACUUCUCUCAGCUAUAUUUGAAGGACUUUUGCUCACCACCCUUACAGAUUAAAAUAUCUAAAAUGACACUGCUAGCAGAAAGGUUCUUGUCACCUACAGCAAAUUUGAACUCUACCCUUCAAGACUAGAAUUCCAAG
Long non-coding RNA from Gavialis gangeticus (Gharial), 259 nucleotides. RefSeq lists it as uncharacterized. The transcript has 4 exons. The record is from RefSeq and is a predicted model, not a curated record. NCBI's taxonomy places the organism in Eukaryota, Metazoa, Chordata, Crocodylia, Gavialidae.